UACGAAGGGGGCUAGCGUUGUUCGGAAUUACUGGGCGUAAAGCGCGCGCAGGCGGUUCUUCAAGUCAGUGGUGAAAGCCCGGAGCUCAACUUCGGAACUGCCAUUGAAACUGUAGAACUUGAGGAUGAGAGAGGUGAGUGGAAUUCCCAGUGUAGAGGUGAAAUUCGUAGAUAUUGGGAAGAACACCAGUGGCGAAGGCGGCUCACUGGCUCAUUUCUGACGCUCAGGCGCGACAGCGUGGGGAUCAAACAGG
This 253-nucleotide ribosomal RNA is filed under the name uncultured bacterium. RNAcentral's name for it is "partial 16S ribosomal RNA". It matches the Rfam family "Bacterial small subunit ribosomal RNA", at positions 524 to 776 of the family's 1533-position model. The record is from RNAcentral.